AACCUAAAAAAUUUGGCGGUGUUUUAAAUAAUUGGAGGAACCUGUUAUUUAAAUGAUAUUCCACAUCAAAUCUUACCAAAAUUUUGUUUGUAUAUCAUUGUUUGAGGUAAUAUUUUAAAAUUAUUAUCAAACUUAAUUUAAUUUUUAAAAUCAAAUCAAGGUGCAGCAUAUUUUGGUUAUAAUGGGUUACAAUACAUAUUAUAUAAUACGAAAAGAUAAUGAAAUAAAAUUAGAAGGUGGAUUCAAAAGUAAAAUUAAAUUAAAAAGUUAAUUUGAUUAAAAGUUUAAAACAUGCACACAU
RNAcentral lists this ribosomal RNA (301 nucleotides) under Euscorpiops sp. 2 VO-2020. RNAcentral describes it as "partial small subunit ribosomal RNA". Lineage: Eukaryota; Metazoa; Arthropoda; Arachnida; Scorpiones; Euscorpiidae. The record is from RNAcentral.